UAAUAUGUAUUUAGUUGUUUGAAUGAGUCAUUUGUUCUUUUAAUUUGGAGACUCACUUCUCUUAAUUGCCUGCGUGAGAAAUCACUUGCUCCGGGACAAUUCGAGACUUCCUGUCUGAGCUUGAUGAAACACCUGCUGCACAUCUGGGCCUUGAUGACUGCAGCAGCGGAGCACAGAGACGAACCUGAGAAGAAGAAGAAGAAGAAGAAGAAGAAGAAGAAGAAGAAGCAUCAACCUUCGAUUGAACAGCCCCCAGUGAGCGGAAUGUGUUUCAAUAGGUUGAAUUGUGUGAUUGAAGAGCCGUGAAGCAUCAGUCUGGGCCUCUCUGCGUCUUGCUUCGCCAGCCACUGUGAAACUCAAAGCUACAUUUGAAACUUCUUCCUGGCCCACGUUGUCAUUCUCAUCGAAGAGCCGACCUACAAUCGACUGUCAGGCAAGACUGGAAAACACAUUAAAGGGGUUCUUUUCCUUUCCACCACCUGGAGCAAGAAGAUAUGAUUUGAAUGCAAAGUGAAAAGGAGGAUUGGCUGCUUCAGAACUUGCAGAUAAAAAGGGCUGUUCAGGACCAUGGGCUGAGGAAACCACUUCCCUACAUCAGGUCUUUCAUUAGUUCAUCAUUUCUCUGUGAUGUCAUCGAGCCGGAGACUGUACCAGGCGCACCAGCAGCAGAGGAGCUGUCCUUUCAGCACCACCACCUCCAACUAUGCACACUGUGUUUCUGCACCGGUGGCCACCAGCCUGUUAACACCGGGUGAAGGCUGUCCUUUAAGUGCUGCAGUUGACACAAGUGCCAAAAGCAAAGUCUAUGAACCACAGUGAUCUGUAAUUAAAUUGCCUGCAGUCAUUUAACGCAGCCGCGCUAUUGUCAAGCCUACAUAACUGCAGCGUAAUGGUUGGUGUUUGAGACUUGAUGGCACAAUGGACAGAAUUAAAGCGACUGCAUCCACAGAACUGGUCGUCACUUCGACAGGACUGUUCGGAUGGACUCCACCACCACUGUCCACAUCUCCGGGAAAAACCCCUGCAGCCUUCAGUAUGGUGCUGAUAUCUGAAAUCAGACAGACAUGUUUACAAGGGAACAAACUAGUCCACAGUUUUUUUUAAAUGUAAUCUGACGUUUGGACACUUGAUUGACAGAGUGUGCAGACUGUUACUAAAGUUUGAUAUGCCUCAAACGUUUUGUUGGUUGUUUUUCAAUGAGCAAUUUGCACCCAGGAGUCUCUGGAGCAGGAGUGAUUAAAUGCACUUAAACUUAUAAUCAAAUCAAGUUGUUAUAAUAGAUGAUUGUGUAAAAUUUUGUAUUGCAAUCCUUAUAUAAUUUAUUAAA
Molecule: long non-coding RNA, 1327 nt
Organism: Paralichthys olivaceus (Japanese flounder)
Lineage: Eukaryota; Metazoa; Chordata; Actinopteri; Pleuronectiformes; Paralichthyidae
Source: RefSeq, a predicted model, not a curated record